Molecule: long non-coding RNA, 2936 nt
Filed under: Homo sapiens (human)
Lineage: Eukaryota; Metazoa; Chordata; Mammalia; Primates; Hominidae
Description: non-protein coding lnc-APBB1-2:4
Source: RNAcentral
ACAGCCGCGGGAGGCCGUGCUCGUGCUUUGGAGCUCCAUGUGAUGUGGUCGGUGGAAGACGUCUCCUUUGUCAGAAUCCGCGCUCAGAUUCCCGGAAUAGCUGCCAGACCGACCCCAGCGUUUAGCCCGGGAAGGGGAGGUAGGAGAGAGCAGGGCGGGCAGGAUCCUCCCACUGGGUGUGUUGCCUCUGACAGGAAGGCGCCUUCCCUCGAUUCCCCAUGCUCUGCCACUGGCACCAGCCCUCUUGAGUCACCCUGAGAAUCACUCACCUGUGAUUCAGAUGAGGAAACAAACCUUAGAGAUGGUGAAGAGACUAGGAAGCCGUAAAGACCAUAUAGCCGUGGGGGCCAAUAACAUGGGCGGGAACCCAAUUGGGUCUCCCACCUCCGUGUAUCCACGACAGUAAAAGCGAGCAUUUAUGGAGUUGUUUAUGAUGUGCCAAGCACCAACCCAGGCACUUUAUAAUUAAUAAUCUUCAAUUCUCACAACAACCCUAAGAAGUACCUAUUAUAUUGGGGCUCAGAAAUCCAUACCCAAAAUAUGGUGGUUUGACUUACUAAGUUAAGCCUUAAGGUGUGUCUGGCCUUCCUACUCCCGCGCCCUCUCUCCCAAAGCCGUUACCUAGCGUCCAGACCCAUCAAAAGGAACAACGGUUUUUUUCUUCCCCUCCCUACAAAACCAAGAAUAUAAUCACACCUGAACAGACCCCUUCACAUGAUAAUGUGCUAGUUAAUCUGUUCCCUGAUCCAUUCCUUCUCCCUCAGCAGAAUUCCUCUUCCCCUCACUCCCACAACCCCCUUUGCCUGAAUGACACCUAAGCUUCUGAACUCGUCUGGGAAGUGGGUAGUCACUCUGUGGUUCCCCGUGGACACAUUAAUACAAUUUCUAUGCCUUUUCUUCAAUUAAUCUGUUUUUUGUGGGUUGAUUUUUCAGCAGAAUUUCAGAGGGCGAAGGGAAAGUUUCCCUUGGUCCCUGCAAAUACUAUUAUUACCCUCCUUUACAGAUAGGAUGAGGCACAAAGAAGUUAAGUGGCAGAAUAGCAAUUAAACCCUAAGCUGUUUGACGAGUGCUUCUGAGGAAUCCUCAGAGCUAUCAAGUCCUGUCAGUUCUUUCCUUUGAUAAUUUUUUACAAGUGUUUUUUCCCCCCAGUUCUGGGGACAUCAUCUCAGAUAGAGUACUCACAGUAAUAAUUAGCAUGCAUUUUUAAGAUUAUGUACUAUGAAAAACAAAACAAAACAAAACCUUUUUAUCUAAGGAAGAUGAGCCCCUUUAAAUUAUCAGGCCCAGACAGGCAUUUAAAAUGUAGCAACAGUCACUCUCACUCUUCUUUGAGCUAAGUAAUUAUCUCUUGAAACCACUUGCUAUGCCAAGUAGCCAUUAAAUGCCAUACACCUUAUAGUUCAACAAUGUAUAGCCAAGCGCUAAACAAUGUAUAACCAGUGUUAUUUCUGUAAACAAUGAGAAUUCCUGAUGAACAACUUUUGUAUUCAUUUCCUCUCCUAAUUCAUCUUUUUUUCUUUGAAAAUAUGAGCCUCUCUUUUGUUGUCCAGAGUGCUCCCCCAAGACAACUUGCAAGUGUGUCCUGGGUCGCAGUCCUCAACCUUGGCCCUUGGCCCGAAUAACCCUCUGUAGGUACUUUUCUGAGGACUCUGCCUUACGUUAAUCCUCACAACAAAUUUGGAAGUCGGUAUUAUAAUUAUCCCCAUUUUACGGAGAAGGAAAGUAGGAUUAAGUAAGUGGCUCAAGAUCCCACAGCUAGCUAGUAAGUGCUGGAACUGGAAUUUGGAUGUGUCAAGCAAAACAUGUCUGAGACAGGUCUCAAUCAAUUUAGAGGUUUAUUUUGCCAAGGUUAAGGACAUGGCUGGAAGAAAUAAACACGGAAUCGCAGAAACAGUCUGUGGUCUGUGGCUUUCUCCAAAGAUGAUUUUGAGGGCUUCAAUAUUUAAAGGGGAAAAGUGAGCUGGAGGGAAAGAAGAAGGGUAUGGUAAUCCACAUGUCGCAAGAGAAAAGGAGCAGGUAGGGAGAUACUCAAUUAUGUGUUCGUCUGGCACUUUACAUAAGAUAAAGUAAAUAUGCCUGUGGAGAUAUUUAACCUUUUGUGUUUUUUUUGUUUUUUUUUUUUUGAGACAGAGUUUUCGCUGUUGUUGACCAGGCUGGAGUGCAAUGGCGCAAUCUCGGCUCACCACAACCUCUGCCUCCCGGGUUCAAGUGAUUCUCCUGCCUCAGCCUACUGAGUAGCUGGGAUUACAGGCAUGUGCCACCACACCCGGCUAAUUUUGUAAAUAUUUAACCUUUUGUCUGUAGCUAUCUGCUUAGGAACAAAAGGAAAGGCAGCUUCUUGCAUGACUCAGUUUUCAGUUUAUUUUUUUUCCUUUUGGCAUAGUCAACUGGAGUCCUGAGUUUUUAUUUUCCUUUCACAAAUGCAACAUUCUGGCUCUAUUCUUUGCUGUGUGGGGACCCAUUCAGAACACCAGAGUUGGUAUAACAAUUAUUUUAAGCCGAAGACAUUUCAGAUUCAAUAGAUGCAGAAAUAAACCUUCUGGGAGCUUUCUUCAUCUGAUUAAAACUUCUGGGAAAUGUCAACCUAAAGGGAAAAAUCUAAGGCAAACUUGAUAUAAGUAGAGAGUUUAUUUGGGCCAAGUUUGAAGACUGUGAAGCGAAGAUUCAAGUUGCCCUGAGUAUAUGCUCCCAAUUAGCAGAAGUCACAAGUGGGUUUUUAAAGGAGAAGAAGAGGCAGUUCCUAAUGAGGACUAAGCUCUGAUUUUUUCUUAUCUUGCUCAAAUUCCUAUCGAAAGGGUCUGGGGAGUCAUGCCCUACAAACCAUAAAUUCUUAUCAGUUGGGUUUUAUUUAACACUAUAUAUUGUGACUGCCUUUUCAGUCAUACUCUGGCAUAAAAUUACGUGAUAAAGAAGAAAGUCAAAAUAUUUUACCCCAA